CCCUUCGUGCUGAAGAUCGGUUGGUCUUUACCCUGGACAACUCAUGCUUUGACCUAAAAGUAGAGACUUUCCGUGAUGGUGAAAGGAUUCUUCCUUUACCUUCUGUUGCUUUUGAAAACCUCAGUAAUGCAAGGUAUGAACUAGUUUGCUCUGCUGUGAUGCCCCGUGGAUUGGAGUUCAACUACCACAACAAUCGCUUGCUUGUACACUCACUCUUCCGGACGUCAAGCUGUGUACGUUGCACUCCGUUCGUCCAUGUAAUGACUGCCACAAAUACUAUGAAGUUCACCAUGAAAAUCCCAAAGUUUGUUGUGUCUAGCUUGAGGAGGUUUGUUGACAUACCAACUAGUGCUGGAAUCUCUCUGGAAGCUUACCUGGGAGAUACGCAUGUUAUCAUGCCAUCAUCUUUCAAGCUGUGCAAGCAAGAUGGGAGGAUGGUGAUUGAGAAGACCAGUUUCAGCGAGUUCAUCUCAGUCACUGAAUAUGAGAAAGACAAUGUUGUGCUCAUCACUUUUGACGAGUCAACUUAUGAUCGUUCAGUCUCAAUUGUGUUCCAGCGCCUUCUGUAGGUGGAAGCAAUGGCCAUGCAGUUUAGUUUGGGAAAGUAGUCGCCAUAGAGCGUCCUUUUAUAUUCGUAGGAUGGAACUUAUGGUGGCUUAUGUGUUGGCAUUUUUUUGCCUUUUGGGUUGAAAGCAGUUAAGACAUUAAGUUUCGUGUAGUUAAGUUGAAGACUGAAAAGUUUCGAUUGUUAGUAUGUAGUUAAGUCGAGGACUGAAGGAAAGAUUGGUUAUCGUUUAUGCUGUUUCUAAUUUGUCUUUUAAUUAAGUUGUUAUCAGUCUUUUUCCAUUUGUGUUUAUGUUAUAAUGCUUGUGUAUCUUUUGCUGUAAUGUUUUAUAUUUGAGAUUUUUGAAUUUUUCUAUAUCUUUGUAGUUGUGUUGUGAGUUUGAAUUUUCAUUUUCCAGCCUGGGUGAUCAACAAUUUCUUUGAUUGAUCUUUUCAUUUCAUAGAUCAUAUCAAUUGUUGAUUCAAAGUCACCCGAUAAAAUUAUUUUUUUUCCUUUUUUAUUUAUGAAAUGAAUUUUUUCCUAUGCUGAAACUUCUUUAAUAUGAUUGAUUUUUCCCUUGUGAAUCAUAGUGAAACUUCUUUUUGGUGUCUUAUUGAUUUUAUUAACAAGUCUCGCUUAAUUUUUUUUUCAACAUUUUUUUGUAAGUUUAUUAAUUAUUUUUAAAAAAUUUAAUGUGUGUUGAGCAUUUUAGCAUCCGAGUUUUGGUUUUAAAAGUGUUUUAAUUUUUUUCCCAAAAUGAAUCUAUUUUCGUUCAUAACUUCAUAACUUUUCAAUUUUUUUCUGUAAUUUAAUUAUGUGCAUCUUUUAUAAGCAAUACUGCAUUUUAUUUAUGGAUUUUGUGAUAAUAAUUAGUGCUGUGAGAUUCCUGUAUUUUUUCUAUGUUAAUAUCGAUAGCCAAAGAGUCCCGUUGAAUCAGUUUUGAAAGCAGGCCGUUCGUUCACUGCUUUGAGAUUCGUGUUAAGUUUCUUGUUUUCUUAGUGUGCACGUUUGGCCCAUUUCGCGACUGUUUUUAGCUUCAUGACUGGCGUCUUGCACGACUGGUGACGUCAGCGCUAUUUCAAAAUCACCAGCACGUCCCCUUUCUGCGGGGGUGCUCGUCUCCUCGGCCGCGUUCUCCUCUCCUCUCCUUCGUCUCCGGCGAUGCUACCACCGUUCCUGCGUCGUUGCUCCGGGAAAUUGGUGCUCUGCUCGCAACAUCCGAGAGCGCGCCUCCUUCUGCAUCUAUCUCAGAAAAUGGCUAGCGACACCAAUGAUUUGGAAGACAGCGAAGUGAUGUACCGUGACGAUGAUUUAGAUGAAACUUUUGCUUCGCAAAGCCAGUUUGAAGGACAGACACACUCACUCAACGUUGGUGGUGGUGACCCGCAGUUUGAUGUCAAGAAUUUUCUGAACAAUCUGCGGAACUUGUUCUACUCAUCAAAUGAGAAUGCCAAUUAUUCUAAGAAUCCGUGUUUUGUUGGUCAGCGUGCCCCACUUCCUCCGAAGAAGGCAACGAGCAGGUGCAAUCAUGGGUAUUUUAGUGACCUGCUGAAGAAAAUUCCACCAUCAAGAUUAGAUGUCAUUAAAAAUUAUGGUUGCUCUUUUAUUCUUGAUUUUGACUGCAAUUUUGUUCCAAGAGGGUUUGCACAAUGGAUAGCAGGGAAAGUAAAUCCACCUACUGGUGACAUAGUUCUCGAUAACAAAGUCAUUCCAAUGAGCCCCGAAUCCUUUCAUCUUCUGCUUGGUCUUCCAUUAGGUGGCACAUCAGUUUUAUUUGACAGUGAGGUGACCAAAGCAGCAUUCCUCAACAUUAUUGGUGAACCUACACUUCCUUCUAUCAAGUGGUUUGGUUUGAGAGUGCUGAAGCCUGAUAUAUCUGAUAUUGAUUUUUUGAGGUGUUUCCUUCUAGUUGCAUUUGCAACUGUUUUGUGCCCCAACUCAAAUAUCUAUCCCAGCACAAAAUAUCUAGGGAUUCUAAUUGAUCCAACUCGAGUUACCAACUAUGACUUGUCAAAAUUUGUUUUCGAUUGGCUUAUGUAAUACAUAAGGAAAUAUCAAAAAUAGCCAAAGAAACCUACAAAAGAGGAUGGACUAACAACACUUGGUGGCUGCAUUUACGGGCUUUGUUGCUAUUACUUAGAUUUUCUGGAUUUUGGGUUACGCCGAGUGCCUCCUGGGAUUCCAAGAGUAAAGGCCUGGAAAAAUUCGUUAGUCAAAGAGUUUGCAAAUUUGGAUUGCAAAGGUCCAAGGGAAUAUGGCCUACGUCCUGUGAAGUUGAUAUCUCAAACUGUCUAUUCCAUGGGUUGCGUUGGUUGUUGCCAUUUACAUGAAGAUUCUUCUCAUGAAUCUGUUAAGUUUAGAUCUGCGCUUGAUAAAACUGUUGGCGGUUUACUACCUUCCUCGGUGAAAGACCAAUUAUCUUUGAUAGCUAGGCGUUUUUGUGAUACUGUUGAUGAAAAGUCUAUCGAAGGAGCUCAGAAUAUGCUGCUAGAUUCUCUGAAUUGCAUUGUUCUAGCUAGCGGUUCAGAUGAUGAACCAAAUCAAUCUGACACGAAUUCAAGAAGAAAUACAAGCAAUAGUAUGGCAAGUAGUGAUAAAUCAGUGCUUAGGAGUCAUGGAUGCAAUGAUCAUUCUUCCAAUAUCAAUGUAUCUCCACCUGUUCAACAUUCUCCAAAUGUUACCAAUGCAAAUGUGGAUUUGCAUGAUACUGCAGGUACACAUUCAGGGAGUAAAAGGAAAAGUGCAUCUCCAGUUAAUGUAGUAGACAGUUCCUUUGUUAAUACAAGACCUCAUAAACUACAAAGGCCUGACAAAGUUCUAGUUGCGAGUUGUAAAUAGAAUUGUACUUUCAGUUAUUUAUGGCAUUUGAGGAAUGCAAGUUUAGUGUAGAUGUUUUAUGUAAUUCUUAAAUUCUCCAGUUAGUGAGGUGUUCUGCCCCUGCUUGUAGUUUGACAACUAGUAGUACAACGAGUCGAAGUUUAUACUUAUGCAUACUAACUUCUUCUGCAUCUUUUUAUUUUCAACUGUGUGCAUUUUAGCUUUUGCUGUUUACAUAUGGUAUGCUGAGCCAUAUAUUCCUUCUUUUAUGUCCGUUCUUAAUGUCAAUGCCAUGAGUAGACUCUAACUUCAGUAGAGUAUUGCUCUUGUUUAAUGUUUGCAAGUUUACUAUGAUUCAUGUGCUUUUUGAGUAAUUUUGAUCAUGAAUGUUCAUUCAGAGUAUCGUUAAUAAUAUUAUAAAAGUAACAGUUAAUAAUAUUAUACCUGAAACUAGUGUAUAAAUUUCUACAUUUGUUUAAGCUUAGUAUUUGAUUGAGUAUUUGAUUGUUAUGUAGAGCAGUUUGCAUUUUUCAAACUAUUAUUUGUUUUAUUGGUUUAAUGAAUUUUUGCGAUCUGUUGAAGUGUCCGCAAGUCUAGUAUGAUGAGUAUACAAGUUAUAUUUUUGUGAAAUUUCUAGUUUUUGUGGCUUUACUUCUUGUUUUCCUCCAUGAACUUCAUUAGUAUACCUCCAGUAAUACCAAAAUAUGUAUAUAAAUAAAACUAAUAUCACUAUUGCUGUUGUAAAAUGUCUGCAACUUUAGUAUGAUGAUAGUGGAAUUUUAGUAUUCCAAGCAUGCAAGUUUAUUAUGGUAUUUUCAAGCAUACAAAUUUUAUGUAUUAGUUUUUGUUUUGUGUACUUGUAAUUGUGAAUUUACUUAGCUUUUUUUGUAAUGAAGUGAAAUGCCUUUUUAGCAUUCAGGUUUAGUUUUGGAUUCUAUAUAUCAAACUUUAUUAGUUUCAUUUUUUAUGCAAGGUGCUUUUUCUGGGUCAUAAUCUUUUUGUAAUUUUCUGCCUGUGACAAGUUAUUUUUUCUGCAUUAGGAGGAAGGAAGAAAGCUUGAUUUCAGUCAAGUUGAGAAGCAACUCGAGUCUGUUCCUGAACUAAUGAAGAAACUAAUUCGACCAAAGUCUACCACAAUCACCGAAUCGAUUGACAAGGAAAAAAGCAUGAGUUUCAAGCAUUUCGCGAAUACAGAUCCUCCAGUUUGAACUAAUCCAAAAGUUCGUUAUACGCAGACCACACUGAACAAGGUCAUGAGUGUUACGAAGAAAUAAUUUUUCCCUGAGAAGCUAAGGUUGAAAUCUACAAUGAAUGGUGAAAAAUCAUUGAACAAUCAAAUCAUGGCACCAAGCCAAGGUCAUUUUCAACUGCGUGAUGAGAAGUCUGAUGGCACUCCAAGGCCAUGGGCAAAUGCAAAUUCUCCAAAUCGCACUGAUUUUCUAGGUGAAACUUCACAGCCUGGUGGUCCUGUCACUAAGAUUGAUUUAGAUUCUCGUGGACUGUCUAGCCCUGGGAAGUCCCCUGAUGUUGAGAUAUUAUAUGAAGUCAAGAAAGACGACAGAUUGAACAACUUCAUAGCUACUUCUGAUGUGAUUUAUAAUGACAAAAUCAACAGUCAUUCUGCUAGUAAAUCUGGAAGAGAGCUCAGUAGGUAUGGACCAAAGAGGAUUCUUAACCCUAGCAAAUAUAAUGCUUCUCCUUAUGUCAACCAGAAAUCAUCGAGAUACCCUGUUACAACAAGAAUGAUUCAAUUACAUGAUGCUAUUGUCACUUUGUCUCUUGAUGAAGAUUACAAAUACAAAACAUGCAUAGACUAUGGCAAAGUUACAGUGACAUACUUUUCCGUUGGUACUUCUUUUGCAACUAAUGGCCUUGUUGACACGUAUACUAUAAAUGCUUGGUGUCACAAAUUGUCUCUAGAUAAUAGGCCAAAGGAGUCUAAAGUUCACCAUUUUUUCACCUUAUCUCUGAACAUCUACUAUUGAUGGACUCAUAUGAAACUCAGGAAUUGUAUGAACAGAAGUCCAGUAUGGUUCAGAGAUGUUUUCAGCUAGCUAACGGUGCAAGGCUAAUCCAUACUUGCGAUGAGGUUCACUUGCCAACUUUGCAUAGAAAGCAUUGGUUCGAUUUUGUUGUCUUGUUUAAACAUGAAAUGUUUGUAAUUCUAGACUCAGCAUUUGAUGGAGAGAGUGAUUUUCACCAGCAUGUGUUCAAUAUUCUGAUACCAAAUUUCAAAAGGGUUUGGGACAUGUAUGGGAGCUCAAGAAAUCUUAACUGGAGAAAUUGGACCAUGCACUUUAUUGAUGUACCUAAACAAAGCAAUGAGCUUGAUUGUGGCAUAUAUACAACACUCUUUCUGAAGCAUUGGAAGCCCAGGAUAUUGAUGCAUGAUAUAGUGAAGGAUGAAGAUAUCGCAAACAUCCGAAUAAGAAUGGCGAAUGAAAUGAUGUUCACUGACCAUAAUAUCAAAAAUGACCAUAAAAAGUUGGUUCUUGAGUUCUAGUCAUGCUGUUGAAACUGAGGUUGGUAAUGGAGAAGAAGCAGCUGUGGUGGAGUUUGCUUUUAGGUAGCAACAGAAAUGGUGCUGGAAGAUACAUAGGCUUUUUUUGCUUGUAGCUUCGGACAUGUAUUAAAGAAGAUAAAUUCUUAGGAAUAUUUUGAAAUGUAAUGUGCGAUGUACAAGUGAAUUUUUCUGUUGACACUUACUGUAAUGUGCAAUGCUUUUGAUAUGUUUGCAUGUCAACCGUGGGUGUUUUGUAUGUUGUAAGAUGUUUGGAUGUAAAUUUGAAUUUUGAAUAUUGUAAAAUGAGUUCUUUUUCAUGGCGUAAUAAUUUCCAUCCUAUCUAUUCUUUUUCCAAAUUUUAAUGGAUCAUGUUAUGUUGUUUGGUUUUCAUAUUGAACAAGCAACAGUAACUAUGUUCUGAUCCUACAUACACAUUCUUUUCUCUUGUUUCAAAUUUUUCUUUUUUUGUUUUAUUCUUCAUUUAUUUUUUGCUUCUUUCCCCAGUUAUUCCCUUUUUGAACAAACAACUUUUUUUCAUUUACCUUUAGUUCUUUUUUUCUUUGCGUCAAGAAAUUGUUGCCAUGUGUGUUUCAUACUAGUUGACACGUUGACACUUCACACCUCAACACCUCAUUAGUUCUAGAUUUUGUUUUGUUUCCAGACUGAUCUUUUUCUUUCCCUUUUUUUUUCUGAAAUGCCAUUUGUGUUGCAUGCAACAUAACCACCUCAACUGCCCAUUAAGGCCACUACUACCACGUUCACCAAAUAACCGACUAGCAACCCCACCCUCUACCGCACUACCCCCAUUACCACUAUCCCUCUACCGGACUACCCCCAUUACCCCUAUAUAAAUGCCAUCUGUAUGCUCUUGUGUUUUGCCUCUCUUCGAAAUCACUUCCCUUCCUCUCAGGAUACAUUCUUUUGCGCUUUGAAGAGUUGUAGGUUCAAGGUACUGAAGUGGGUUGAAGCUUGAAAGAGAAAAAGAUGGGUCAAGAGGAUGCUUCCAAAAAAGAUAGGGGUGCUUGUAAGAAGGUUGCUGAUGCCAGUAAGGAAAAGGUCACGGUGCCAGGUGGAUCACAUGUCUCCAAGCGCAAUUUUGAAGCUAAGGAUUCUUCGAGUUCCAAAAAGAUGGUUCCCACAAAGGAUUUCAGUCGCAACACAAUGAAGAUUUCAGCUGUCACAAGAGCUCAGCUGAAUAUUCCUUUUGGAGACACUGACAGAGUAGUGUACUGCAUAGUAACUAGAAACACUCAUUCUGCUGCUUUCUGCGUUGGACAUGCACUUUUUGACAUGUUGGGUCAUAGGAAUUUUACUAUUGCCGACCACUACAUUAAGGAUACAGUGCUAGUUGCUUUCAAGGAUUAUUUCGACGUGCUGAUUGCAGCUGGAAAUGACAUUCGGUGUGGUCCUGAAGCUCUGAUGACUAUUCGUCGAGUUUCUAGGAUUGAGCAGUGCAUUCCUGAUUGGGAUAGCUACUUCCAAAGGAACAUCAUCAUUGCACCUGAAGCAACCCAAGAUGAAGAUGUAGAUAAUGAAGAGGAUGAAGUUGUUUUUCCCAAGGGUGAUUAUGAUUCCUUUGGUGGUGGUUUCUCUGGUGGAUCAGGAGGGGAUGGUGAUGCUGGAGGUGGUGUUGGCGCAAGCGUUGCUGCUGCAUGAAUGCUCAUUAAAGUGGAAUGAAUGGUGGAUGCAUCUAGUGUUACUUUUAGUUGAUGAAUCGUGCAUCCUGUCUGCAAUUUUAGUUUAAUAUAGUUAAUUUAGGUUGCUUUUGUGUUUCAUCUUUGUGGUUUGGUUUCAUUUAGUCAUCCUUCUAUAUAGGUGUAUCAUCAAAUUUCAAGGAUUUCCUUUGUGAUAUCACUAAUGUACUGUUUAUAUUAUUAAUUACUAGUUAUGUUUCCUGUACUAUAUUUUGAUUUCAUAUACCAUUUUAUACUCAUUAUAAUUCUUCAUUUUUCUGUCAUCCUCAGUCAAGUAAAAUACAUGUCCAUCAUUUCAUACAAAAAUUAUGCAAAGUUUUGUGCAAUUUUAACAAAAACUCCUAUUGUUGAUCUUCUUUUCACCCAUAUCCUUUUUUUUUGCUUUAGCAUUGCUGUUCUUCAGACAGUGACCAUCCCUUCUUCUUCCACGUUGCAUGAAUAAUGAUUACUCCUUGCCUUUUUUUCAUAAACAAAAAAAGAGAAUGCAAUCAGUACAAAUGAAUAUAUAUUUUUCUUACCAGGAUAAGUUUGUGAAAUGAAAUUUCUUGCAGAUAUUUUUUCUAACAUUUUCCCUCUCUUUUUUCGUGCUCUCCUCUUUUAGUUUGCUUUGCAUGCUUUCUUUUGGCUGAACAUAGAAAUGUACAGAUUCAAAAUAAAAACUAAAUUGUAUCUGUAAAUUGCAGUAACAAUUUGAAACAAUGAUCGUUCUUUUACCUGUCUUUGUAGGUUUUUGUGGUGACUCUUGUUCUAUUUGCUUGCAACCUGUAAUAUUGUGUCCUUGCUUCUGGCACCCCGAACAUGUCACCUUAGGCUUUGAUAUGAUUUCAUCUACUAUACUUUUCCGCCUCCAUGUUUUCUUGAUUCUUCCUUUUGGUUUGAUGUAUACUGGAUCGUUUAGUUUUUUCUCCCCCUUGCUAUCUGAAGUCAAUAUUUCUCCUGUGAUAGCUGUUAAAUCUGAAGCAGAACAUUUUGGUCGCUCCAUUUCUGGCAUGCAAGGAUUUUUUGAUGCCUCAGAAGCUAGUUGAACUAGCCUUCUUGAAAAUAAGAAGAAUGCCAUUUGCUCGUCCAAAUCCUCAAGGUUUGCAUUUUCUUCAUUACCUUGAAAUACUCUCUUUUCCUUAGGUCUCCAUCUAUCAAUGAAAAACUUUUGUGGCAACUCAUCUACGUUCAAUGCUUGAAUGACUUUGAGUGCAUGACAACACAGAAUGCCAUCCUUCUCAAAUUUCCCACACACAUAUGAAAUAGUUUCUGACUCUGUGUCAACAAUCACUGUGAAUGUUCUCGGGUUAUAGUCAAGGAGUGCUUGAGUUGGUGAUUUGUACACCUCAUAUUGUUUGUUCUUUUCCACUUCCAUCAUGUGAAAUUUUGUUGAAUUCAUCAACUAUUGCUGAAAUUUGUAGAAUAUGCCUCUGUUAUAUAGUUCUGCAGCUUGUUUUUCCAAUGCCCAGUCACUCCACAUAGUUGGAGAUGUUCUCCUUGUUACUGAAUCAUUUUCUUUUCUUUUUUCUUCAAUACUUUGUGAUAUCCUGUCAAACUCUGUCAUGAAAGCAAUCACACUGUGACUUGACCCUACAUUUGCUUUGAAUACAACAUUUGUUCCUUCACUUCUUGCUGUUGAUUGGAUGAAUGGGAAAAAGUCAUUCUUGAAGAACGCAGGUACAAAUCUCUUUCUGUUUUUCCACAUAAUUCCGAAGUACUCGAUAUGUUGAACUUUGUACUCCUCUGUCAUUUGUGGCCAGAGCUGCUCAAACUCCUCAACUGUUUGUGAGUUUAGGAUUAUGUCAUGAAAUUGAGCGUUCAAAUGCUGAUUCCUUGCAAAUGUUCUUCUUGCUUUGUUUUGCGCUUUUUUUAGAAUGUGAAACAAACAGUUCCUGUGCGUGCAAUUAGGGAAACACUUAGGCACUGCCUUUUUCAUUGCUACAUCUUGAUCUGUUAUACAGAUUUUGGAGCUUUCCCUCCCAUGCACUUCAGAAAAGUUUUGUAUAACCACUCAAAAGUUUCCUUCUUCUCAUCUUGUAUGAAACCACAUGCAAAGAGGCAGUUGUCUCCAUGUCCAUUUACACCCACAAAUGGAGCAAACUUCAGAUUGUACUUGUUUGUUUUGUAAGUUGUGUCAAAACUUAGGAAAUCACCAUAUUGCUGAUAGUUCCUUAUACCUGUACCAUCUGCCCAAAAUAUAUGCAUGACAUUCUUAGCUGGAUCUGUUUUGAAUGAGUAGUAAAACAGAGGAUCUUCUGAUUUUUUCUGUUCAAAGAAUGAGACAACUUGCAUCAUGUCAUUCAAGCCAUUAUCUAUUCUCAUUUUCGUGCCCAUGUUGCUAAUCUGUUUUGCUGUGUAUGGCAACGAAGAAAGCCCUCUUCCUCGAAAGAAUGCCAUUAUUGCCAUUAUUUUUCUUGUUGGUAUGUUCACUCGUUUGCAAGUUCUGGUUAAUUCCUUUUCUUGAUCAGUGAUGAAUUUGUGUGACCUGAGGAACCUGACUUCGCCUGGAGGAUGCAGAUCAUGGUUGUGCUCAAUGAUAAGCCUUGUCACCAUCCACUGUGAUAUAUCAAAUUUCCAGUUCUGAAUGAUGUUGUUCCUCAAGCAACUGAUUAGAUGAUAACAUAAUUUGUUCCAGUUAAAUUCAUGCUCACCAUCAGAUUCAGUCUCACUGCGAGUUGCUUCACCUUCAUUAUUACCAUCAUAAUCAUCUUCAUGCUCACCAUCAGAUUCACUCUCACUGACAUUUGCUUCUUCAUUGUUGUUACCAUCAUCGUCAUCUUCAUGCUCUUGGUCUAAAGUAGUUCAACAUACCUCAGAGCUUAUGCCAGCAGUCAAGAAUGAUGUGAAACUUGUUAUAGAACAAUGCAAAAAAUUCAACAAAAUGAAAUGAAAACUUGCAUACGAAAUGGAGUAUAUCACAUACCUUUGCCUGACCACAAGGACUUUUAUCACCAGAUCUGACAAAGAAACCCUGGGGAUUGGAGGAGAAGUAUGCUUAGAGGAACAAUUGUCUGGGAAACUUCAUCAGAAGUCUCAGAAGAAAGCAGAAUAUCUGAGGUAUGGUUCCCCUCCCAUGGCGGCUGUGUGGGAGUCGGGAGGAGGAAGACCUAGUGACGUGUUACUUAUUUAGCUUACCGGGUCCAGGCCCGUUUUCUUUUUCUGGGCUAAAUACAGAAAACAGGCAGAGAAAGGAUCUUUAGCUUACCGGGUCAGGCCCGGGACAGAAACAGAAAGGCCUCAGCUUGUUGUUUUCGGUUGGGCUAAACUGAAACAGAAACAGAAAGAAAAUCUGACUGACCUCUUUCUUCUGUCAGUCGAUUUUGUUCUGCUUUGCCGGUUUGAUCACAUUUGUACCAAUCGACUGACCUCUUUGUUGUGUCAGUCGAUUGAUCUAUAGCCAUUCCCGAGCCAGACUAGGUGUAGUUCUCGCUAGCUUUUGCGAAAGAUUUUUUUUCUUUUGUAGGAAAGCUUUUGCCAUACUUUGAACCCUACUAGUAAUAACAAUACUAAAGCUAUGAACGUUUGAAAUGAGAAUACGAUUUGCAACUACUUUUCUUUCC
This is an RNA transcript of Triticum aestivum (bread wheat), 11097 nucleotides long. RefSeq lists it as uncharacterized. The transcript has 31 exons. The record is from RefSeq and is a predicted model, not a curated record. NCBI's taxonomy places the organism in Eukaryota, Viridiplantae, Streptophyta, Magnoliopsida, Poales, Poaceae.